CUGCCCUUAGCUCAACCGGAUAGAGCAAUGGCCUUCUAAGCCAUAGGUUAGGGGUUCGAUUCCCUUAGGGCAGGCCA
RNAcentral lists this transfer RNA (77 nucleotides) under Herbaspirillum chlorophenolicum. RNAcentral describes it as "tRNA-Arg". It matches the Rfam family "tRNA". From Rfam's summary of the family: Transfer RNA (tRNA) molecules are approximately 80 nucleotides in length. Their secondary structure includes four short double-helical elements and three loops (D, anti-codon, and T loops). Further hydrogen bonds mediate the characteristic L-shaped molecular structure. tRNAs have two regions of fundamental functional importance: the anti-codon, which is responsible for specific mRNA codon recognition, and the 3' end, to which the tRNAs corresponding amino acid is attached (by aminoacyl-tRNA synthetases). tRNAs cope with the degeneracy of the genetic code in two manners: having more than one tRNA (with a specific anti-codon) for a particular amino acid; and 'wobble' base-pairing, i.e. permitting non-standard base-pairing at the 3rd anti-codon position. Lineage: Bacteria; Pseudomonadati; Pseudomonadota; Betaproteobacteria; Burkholderiales; Oxalobacteraceae. RNAcentral also lists the same sequence under 16 other names. The record is from RNAcentral.